GCCUGGGUGGCUCAGUCAGUUAAGCGUCCGACUUUGGCUCAGGUCAUGAUCUCACGGUUCGUGGGUUCGAGCCCCACAUCAGGCU
RNAcentral lists this transfer RNA (85 nucleotides) under Felis catus (domestic cat). It matches the Rfam family "tRNA". From Rfam's summary of the family: Transfer RNA (tRNA) molecules are approximately 80 nucleotides in length. The record is from Rfam by way of RNAcentral. Lineage: Eukaryota; Metazoa; Chordata; Mammalia; Carnivora; Felidae.